RNAcentral lists this long non-coding RNA (251 nucleotides) under Lathyrus oleraceus (garden pea). RNAcentral describes it as "Pisum sativum (pea) long non-coding RNA (PSAT_LNC025958)". Lineage: Eukaryota; Viridiplantae; Streptophyta; Magnoliopsida; Fabales; Fabaceae. The record is from RNAcentral.
UUCAAGGUGAAUUUGAACUUCAUCCAAACAUUAAAGUUGAAGUAGACAUCGUAAGUUUUAUUAUGGAAUUUUAAUGGCUUUCAUAUCAUAAAAAUUGAGUAAGUUAUGGUCUUGGGAAGUUGACCUCCAAACUAGGGUUCAGACAAAAUGACCUGUAAUCUUUCACCCUAAACAAUGACUUUACAAGAAAAAAUAGCUCUUUACUUCAACAUGAAAGUUGUUUGGAAUUUCAUUUUGAGUAAUUUUUCUCU